UUCAGAGGGCGCGGGCGGCCGGGUGGAAGCCAGGGCACCUCUGCGUCUCUGAAGCCUGCGACGUAAUGCUUUGUAUAAAUACUGACUUUUUAGGGAAGACAGAGAGGAGCCUCUCUCUUUUUCCACUGCGGGGAUUAAGAAAAGUUUAUUGAUUUUUAAACAGGCUGUUUCUAAUCAGGGCUUAUUUUAGAUCUAAUAAAGUUGCUAUUAUUAUUUUUUUAAUUGGGUGCAGACAAGGGAAUUCAAUGUCAAUCUAUGGGUAAACUAUUUUUAAUUGCCUUGGAAGAUGUUACAUUGAAACUAAGAUUAUAGGUCACAUGCGAGUCUCAGGGCCCUGGUCCCACAAGGGUAUUCUGCUAGAACCAGUAUGUCACCCCAGCUCUUGAUCCAGCGUUAAAAUGGCUGAGCAGAUGGGUUAGUGUCCAUAUAACAGGGUAAAUGACCACAACUCCCAGGAAAGCAUUCUUUCAGUUCUGAUGGGCAAACUUCUACUCAUGCUUCAAGACCCAAAUCAAGCGUUCUGUGAGUCUUCUUACGUUCUCUCAGGCAUCACAGUGACUUUGUCCCCUGCUUCCACUACAGAAUGCUGUAGAUAUUUUAAUCGUUGCAUUUAUCGCGUUGUUCUAAAUCGUGAAUUUGCGGUUCUGCUCCCCCAGCAGACUGUGAGGCUUAGGGAGCAGAGCUUGUAACUUAUUCUCAUUUUGUUUUCUUUUCUCUUCCAAAGUAGCUCAGUUCCUAAACUAUAGCAGGCACUCAAAUACAUGUUUUUCCCGGGUAAUAGACUAGCUAUACCUCCGUAGAUCUGGUUUGUUGAGAUCCACCUUCAUAUGUGCAUUCAGCCAAUUCUUGAUUUACUAUGUUUAUGAGGGAUAGUUGUUGAGCAUUUCCUAUAGACUUAGGAAGUUCUGUCGUAGGAUAUAUAAGGGUUAUAAAGGAACUCUAAGAUGUAAUCUUGCAGUCUUGUAGACCCUAAUCUUUAAAGGGAUUCAAUAGAGGAAGAUAUUGUACAAUCAGAGAACAAUAGGAGAGUAUGUAACUAUAGAAAAGUAAUUCUAAGUCAAGUGGCCCAAUGCGUGGUUAAAGGUAACUCCUGGUAUGGUGUUGGGGAGGAGAAGGAACCAUGGGGCUGGUGUCAUUGGGGAGGGACUUGGACUGAGGCAUGGAAGACAGAGACAGUUAAACCAGAUAGAAGAAAUGGGGGACCAGGCCUCAGACCUACAGAACAGCUGCCAAGGUGGGACUGAGCACCAGGGGGAGCAGGCAGUGAGGAAACCAGCCCGGAACUUCCCACAGAUUUUGGAAUCCUCGCGGUGAAGGCCUGGGGUGAUGUCAUAGGCCACUCCUGACUGACUGAGAGGCCAAGUGCUGAAACCGCAAGCUGGGAAUGAACCAAGUCAAACUGGGGAGCUGGAAUUCUGGACGAGAUCACCUGAUGCCUGAGUUUCUGGGGCUGCUUCCCCCUCUCCAGACGCGGAUACUGAGACUCAAGAGGCCACCCCAGUGUGGACCGCUGGUGCACGACAGAAUCGGGAUUCUGACCAGAGCUGUCUGGUCCCAGAGCCUGUGCUUGUGACUGUGAUGUGAUGCAGGAGAGUGGACUAUACCAGCGUGUAGACUGCCUGGAACAAAUAGAAACCCAGCUGAGUUCCUGCAAUUUACAUAGGUGAAUCUAGAAAUGGAAUUGCCUAAGGAUUUGGCAGAAGGUGAAAAAGAAGAGCUAAAGAGGAGCAUAGAAGGAGACACUUGGCCUUUGUGUCCAGAGAAGAAAGAGAAUGCCUUUGGGGAGGUUGCGAUCACCAGACGGCUGGCCCUCAGCAACACUGAAGCCCAGAAGUCGGAUUGCCCAGCGGCUUAUGGGGAGUGACCCCUUUGUUUCUCUGAAGCCGUCUCCUCCUAAUCCCCUUAGCUCUAUAAAAGCCCGCUGCUUUCUGUUCUUGGGGAGACAGACUCCAGCAAACCCAGGCUCCCAUCCACUCAUUUUGGCCAAUUUAAUUAAAUCUUUCUCCAUCUCCAAGCACCGGUGUCUCAGUGUUUGGCUUGCUGUGCAUCGGGCACACAAGCUUGAGAUUAAGAGGUUCAGUAUCGAUCAUUCUGUUUAAUUGCCUGAAACACAAGGCUCAAAUGAUCCUGAGAAGAAGACUGGCUCGCACACAGCCUAGUAGAGCUCAGUGCUGGACCGCUGUGAAAAAUUCCAAUCCAAUGGUGGCUUGUUUAUUUUAAAUUAUUCAAAAUCAUUUUAAAGCCUUAAAAAUGGAAGUAGUUGCAACUUCAUGUGGUGAAAUAACAUGGGUAUUUGAGAAGAGAAAUGUGAUAUUGUUUAUAAUGAUAAUAAUAUCGGCCACCACGUACUAGCCCUUACUGUGUUCCAGGUUUUCUACUAACUGCUCUGUAUACCUGCUCUUCAACCCAAAUAGUUCUCAGGGUUAGCACAGUGCUUCUCAUUUUCUGCUUGCUGUCUUCAUUUCUACUUUGUUAAUCUUAAUGCAUACACACUCUUUAUCUUAACACACUUCAAAUUUCUUUUGAAACGAGGCAGCAUUCUGAUCAAUGAAAAUAUUUUGGAGUGAUUUUCUAAAGAGUGAUCGUAAAGGCUUUAGUUUAUCUUAAAUUCUAGAGAAUGGAUGGUUUACCCAGAAGGAAGACAACAGCCGUUCCUGUUAAAUUAUUCUGCUAAUGUUUACUUUGGAAAACGGUGGUAUUUUAUGCAAACAAAAUUGGAAAGCCUCCAUUUGGGCUCUGCAGGGACAAAGGCCUUUCCUGUGACUAAGGAUUGUCUGGUGGGGCUUCUGGAGGAAGGCUUCGUCAAUUCCACACCUGCCCGUGGAUCACACGGGGCAUGUGGGGUGGGUUCUAGAAUGAAGUCUGACUCACUCUUUUUCAAUAUAAAUAAUGUGUAUUCAUAUACAUGUAAUUGUUGUACUUUAUGAACAAUUUAUAUAUGUGUGUGCAUAUAAAUAUACUAUGUAUGCGAUCAUUUCUUUAAGCUAUUUCUCCCUAAUUAGCCCUCCAUUAAUUGUGCAAACUACUUAUGCACAAUAACCUAUUGAAAUACAAACUGUUCAGACAAUUCAGACUUCCAGAGAGGAGGACAGCUGCUCACAGAUGAGGACUCUUGCCCUUGGCAAGCUGUUUUUGAGGGAGCUGUCAGAAAUCUGAGAGGGACAACUAACACCUCCACUCAAGGGCAGGAGAAGCGCCCUCCAGCUGGCAGCUCACUCUAUCACUUGGGUGGACGUUCCUUCUGGGGCUGGGAUCCCUUUAUCUAUCCCAGUCACACUGCCAUUGGGAGAGGCUUUGGGAGGGCGGGGAGGGGACAUCAGGUGAGGUCAUUGCUCAAGAAUCAGGGUUGUUGACUCAAAGAUCCUCUCACGAAUUUCCAGGUGCCUUCUAAGCAAGGUUUAAAGGAAACUACACAACAAAGCAAGUGGUCCUUAGAAUCUGAAGGACAAGGCAGUUCACUGUCGCUAAAUGGAAGCUUUGUUAUUAAAAGAGCUCUUAUCUGGUGAGGCUCUGAGGUAAAACCAGUUAAGUCCUGACUUGCUGUUUUUGUGUUUUAAUGUUGUGCUUUGGCGAGUUCUUAUUUUGACCUAGCGGGGGUAAGAGUGGGUGGGAGGGAUGGGCCUUAAGGCAAUGGAAGGAUUUUUACUUCUGUGUUACGUCUUUGUGUAUUUACACUGGGGCUUUAGUUAUGCAAAAAUAUGGAUAGGAAAAACAUUAGUAGAAAAUAUAACAAAAUGGUAUGAAUGGCUAUUUCUUUAUGGUGGGUUGUGAAUGUGUAUCCUUUUUCUUUUCUUUUUUCCAAAUUUUGUGUACUGAAUGAGAUAUUUAUAAUGAAACUGAAAUCUGGCAAUAAAACUAGCCUUAUUUUGCAAUUUAUACCACACAUUUUGUUUGAAAAUUCCAUCAAAUGUAAUAGUGUCCCCAUGGGCCCAUUUAGAGCCAGUUCCAACAGACCCCAACUCUUAUCAACAAAGUGAUUAAGGAUUGUCUUUCAGAAAAUUUGCGAAGUCACGUAGCCAGAGCAUGCACAGAAGAAAUUUUGACCUGAAAUGACCAUGGAACCAAAGAUUCUCCUCCCCACAGAUCCAAGGAGCAGGACACAACCCCGAACUUGAAAGUCAGACUCUUACCAGAAGUGAGAGGUCCAUCAUUCUGGAAGAUCUGGUGUUAGAAUUCCUUACCCACCUUACCAUAAAUGUUUAGAACCUCAUCAUAAAUGUUUAGAACCUCAUCAUAAAUGUUUAGAACCUUACCACAAAUGCCUGAAGCCUACCACUCAAAACCUGUCCUGCCAGUGUUUCUGUGUGCCAGCCUCUUCUCCCUAACCUCUUAGAUUUUGCCCCAAAUCGUGAAUUGGGGAGACAGAUCUGAUGGCACACGCCCCCUGUCUCCCUGCAGAUUCAUCUCUCAUAAUAAACCUGAC
Non-coding RNA from Equus caballus (horse), 4423 nucleotides. Lineage: Eukaryota; Metazoa; Chordata; Mammalia; Perissodactyla; Equidae. The record is from RefSeq and is a predicted model, not a curated record.